This 523-nucleotide ribosomal RNA is filed under the name Potamonautes sp. CathP1. RNAcentral's name for it is "partial 16S ribosomal RNA". It matches the Rfam family "Archaeal large subunit ribosomal RNA", at positions 1987 to 2699 of the family's 2987-position model. The record is from RNAcentral. Lineage: Eukaryota; Metazoa; Arthropoda; Malacostraca; Decapoda; Potamonautidae.
UGAUAAUUAAUAUUUAAGGGGCCGCAGUAUUCUGACUGUGCAAAGGUAGCAUAAUCAAUAGGUUUUUAAUNGAGAUCUCGUAUGAANGAUNGGACAAAAGAAAUACNGUCUUNGNGUUAAAAUUUGAAUUUAACUUUUGAGUGAAAAGGCUUAAAUAUUCUAAAGGGACGAUAAGACCCUAUAAAACUUUACAUUAAUAUUAAAUUUUAUUUAAUUUAAAUUAUAACAAUUAAAUUUAAGUUUUUUGUUAUGUUGGGGAGACAAAAGCUAUAAUUAUAUAUUAACUGCUUAUGAAAAAAACAAUAAAUAAAUGAAGUAAAAAUUUAUAGAUCCUUAAUAAAGAUUUAAAGAUUAAGUUACUUUAGGGAUAACAGCGUUAUUUUUUUUGAGAGUUCCUAUCGAAAAAAAAGAUUGCGACCUCGAUGUUGAAUUAAAAUAUCUUUAUAAUGCAGCUGUUAUAAAAGAAGGUCUGUUCGACCUUUAAUUUUUUACAUGAUUUGAGUUCAGACCGGUGAGAGCCAGG